Molecule: ribosomal RNA, 207 nt
Filed under: uncultured bacterium
Lineage: Bacteria
Description: partial 16S ribosomal RNA
Rfam family: Bacterial small subunit ribosomal RNA
Source: RNAcentral
CGCGUAGGUGGUUUGUUAAGUCAGAUGUGAAAGCCCAGGGCUCAACCUUGGAACUGCACCUGAUACUGGCAGACUAGAGUACGGUAGAGGGAGGUAGAAUUCCACGUGUAGCGGUGAAAUGCGUAGAGAUGUGGAGGAAUACCAGUGGCGAAGGCGGCCUCCUGGACUGAUACUGACACUGAGGUGCGAAAGCGUGGGGAGCAAACA